RNAcentral lists this ribosomal RNA (403 nucleotides) under uncultured soil bacterium. RNAcentral's name for it is "bacterial SSU rRNA". It matches the Rfam family "Bacterial small subunit ribosomal RNA", at positions 26 to 414 of the family's 1533-position model. The record is from RNAcentral.
AGAAUCAACGCUGGCGGCGUGCCUCAGACAUGCAAGUCGAACGAUUAAAGCUCUCUUCGGAGAGUGUAUAGAGUGGCGCACGGGUGAGUAACACGUAAGUAAUCUACCUUCGAGUGGGGGAAUAACCCGGGGAAACCCGAGCUAAUACCGCAUAAUGCAGCGGCAUCGCAAGAUGACAGUUGUUAAAGGAAUUUAUUUCGCUUGAAGAGGAGCUUGCGGCAGUAUUAGCUUGUUGGUAAGGUAACGGCUUACCAAGGCUACGAUCUGUAUCCGGUCUAAGAGGACGGUCGGACACACUGACACUGAAUAACGGGUCAGACUCCGUACGGGAGGCAGCAGGUCGGAAGUUUGGGCAAGUGGGACGAAGCCGUGACCCAGCGAACCGCCGCGUAGGAACGGAUAG